RNAcentral lists this transfer RNA (63 nucleotides) under Coraebus diminutus. RNAcentral describes it as "tRNA-Asp". It matches the Rfam family "tRNA". From Rfam's summary of the family: Transfer RNA (tRNA) molecules are approximately 80 nucleotides in length. Their secondary structure includes four short double-helical elements and three loops (D, anti-codon, and T loops). Further hydrogen bonds mediate the characteristic L-shaped molecular structure. tRNAs have two regions of fundamental functional importance: the anti-codon, which is responsible for specific mRNA codon recognition, and the 3' end, to which the tRNAs corresponding amino acid is attached (by aminoacyl-tRNA synthetases). tRNAs cope with the degeneracy of the genetic code in two manners: having more than one tRNA (with a specific anti-codon) for a particular amino acid; and 'wobble' base-pairing, i.e. permitting non-standard base-pairing at the 3rd anti-codon position. The record is from RNAcentral. Lineage: Eukaryota; Metazoa; Arthropoda; Insecta; Coleoptera; Buprestidae.
AAAAAUUUAGUUAAAUAAUAACAUUAGCUUGUCAAGCUGAAAUCGCUCACAGGGCAAUUUUUA